RNAcentral lists this ribosomal RNA (442 nucleotides) under uncultured bacterium. RNAcentral describes it as "partial 16S ribosomal RNA". The record is from RNAcentral.
GACUACAGGGGUAUCUAAGCCGGUUCGCUCCCCACGCUUUCGUGCCUUAGCGUCAGAAAUGGUCCAGUAACCUGCCUACGCCAUUGGUGUUCCUUCUCAUAUCUACGGAUAUUACCCCUACUUGAGAAAUUCCAGUUACCUCUACCAUUCUCGAGUUAGCCAGUUUGAAUAAUAGUCUGUAUGGUUGAGCCACCAGGUUUCACUAUUCACUUAACUAACCGCCUACGCAACUCUUUACGCCCAGUCACUCCGGAUAAUGCUCGGAUCCUACGUAUGACCGCGGCUGCUGGCACGUAGUUAGCCGAUCCUUAUUCAUAAGUUACCGUCAUAUUCCUCACUUAUAAAAGCAGUUUACAACCCGAAGGCCUUCAUCCUGCACGCGGCGUUGCUCCAUCAGGGUUGCCCCCAUUGUGCAAGAUUCCUCACUGCAGCCCCCCGUAGG